This 469-nucleotide ribosomal RNA is filed under the name uncultured bacterium. RNAcentral's name for it is "partial 16S ribosomal RNA". It matches the Rfam family "Bacterial small subunit ribosomal RNA", at positions 28 to 507 of the family's 1533-position model. The record is from RNAcentral.
GACGAACGCUGGCGGCGUGCUUAACACAUGCAAGUCGAACGGUGAAGCGAGUGCUUGCACUCGUGGAUCAGUGGCGAACGGGUGAGUAACACGUGAGUAACCUGCCCAUCACUCUGGGAUAAGCACUGGAAACGGUGUCUAAUACUGGAUACGACCAACCCUUGCAUGGGGUGUUGGUGGAAAGAUUUAUCGGUGAUUGAUGGACUCGCGGCCUAUCAGCUUGUUGGCGGGGUAAUGGCCCACCAAGGCGACGACGGGUAGCCGGCCUGAGAGGGUGACCGGCCACACUGGGACUGAGACACGGCCCAGACUCCUACGGGAGGCAGCAGUGGGGAAUAUUGCACAAUGGGCGAAAGCCUGAUGCAGCGACGCCGCGUGAGGGAUGACGGCCUUCGGGUUGUAAACCUCUUUCAGCAGGGAAGAAGCGAAAGUGACGGUACCUGCAGAAGAAGCACCGGCUAACUACGUG